UGAGUACGAGACGCUAAGGCGUUGAAGUAGUGGAUGUCAUACUUCCAAGAAAAGCUUGCACUGUCAUAAAUAAAAAUGCCUGUACCAUAACCGACACAGGUGGGUAGGUAGAGUAUACUAAGGGGCGCGAGAUAACUCUCUCUAAGGAACUCGGCAAAAUGACUCCGUAACUUCGGGAGAAGGAGUGCCUUAUUCGUAAGGCUGCAAUAACAGGAUCCAAGCAACUGUUUAUCAAAAACACAGGUCUCCGCUAAGUCGUAAGACGAUGUAUGGGGGCUGACGCCUGCCCAGUGCCAGAAGGUUAAAGAAGUCGGUUAGCAUUAGCGAAGCUGGUAACUGAAGCCCUGGUGAACGGCGGCCGUAACAAUAACGGUCCUAAGGUAGCGAAAUUCCUUGUCGGGUAAGUUCCGACCCGCACGAAAGGCGUAAUGAUUUGGAUACUGUCUCGGAGAGGGGCUCGGUGAAAUAGACUUGUCUGUGAAGAUGCGGACUACCUGCACCAGGACAGAAAGACCCUAUGAAGCUUUACUGUAACUUGAAAUUGAAAUUGGACUUUAUUCGCGCAGUAUAGGUGGGAGGCGUUGAUUAUAAUCUUGCGGGAUUAUUGGAGCCAUCAGUGAGAUACCACUCUUGUAAUGUUAGAUUUCUAACUUUGAAUCAUUAUCUGGUCAGAGAACAGUUUCAGGCGGGCAGUUUGACUGGGGCGGUCGCCUCCUAAACGGUAACGGAGGCGUACAAAGGUUUCCUCUGAACGGGUAGAUAUCGUAUCUAGAGUGUAAAGGCAUAAGGAAGCUUGACUGUGAGACCUACAAGUCGAGCAGGGACGAAAGUCGGUCUUAGUGAUCUGACGGUACUGAGUGGAAAGGCCGUCACUCAACGGAUAAAAGUUACUCUAAGGAUAACAGGCUGAUCUCCCCCAAGAGUUCACAUCGACGGGGAGGUUUGGCACCUCGAUGUCGGCUCAUCGCAUCCUGGGGCGGUAGUACGUCCCAAGGGUUGGGCUGUUCGCCCAUGAAAGCGGUACGCGAGCUGGGUUCAGAACGUCGUGAGACAGUUCGGUCCAUAUCCGGUGUAGGCGUUAGAAUAUUGAGAGGAGCCUUCUUUAGUACGAGAGGACCGAGAAGGACAUACCUCUGGUGUACCAGUUAUCGUGCCAACGGUAAACGCUGGGUAGCUAUGUAUGGAGUGGAUAACCGCUGAAAGCAUCUAAGUGGGAAGCCCACCUCAAGAUAAG
RNAcentral lists this ribosomal RNA (1234 nucleotides) under metagenome. RNAcentral describes it as "bacterial LSU rRNA". It matches the Rfam family "Bacterial large subunit ribosomal RNA", at positions 1564 to 2808 of the family's 2925-position model. The record is from RNAcentral.